This 440-nucleotide ribosomal RNA is filed under the name uncultured bacterium. RNAcentral describes it as "partial 16S ribosomal RNA". It matches the Rfam family "Bacterial small subunit ribosomal RNA", at positions 338 to 795 of the family's 1533-position model. The record is from RNAcentral.
CCUACGGGCGGCAGCAGUAGGGAAUAUUGCUCAAUGGGGGAAACCCUGAAGCAGCAACGCCGCGUGGAGGAUGAAGGUUUUCGGAUUGUAAACUCCUUUUGUUAGAGAAGAUAAUGACGGUACCUAACGAAUAAGCACCGGCUAACUCCGUGCCAGCAGCCGCGGUAAUACGGAGGGUGCAAGCGUUAUUCGGAAUCACUGGGCGUAAAGGGCGCGUAGGCGGGAUAGCAAGUCAGAUGUGAAAUCCUAGGGCUUAACCAUAGAACUGCAUUUGAAACUGUUAUUCUUGAGUGUGGGAGAGGUAGGCGGAAUUCUUGGUGUAGGGGUAAAAUGCGUAGAGAUCAAGAGGAAUACUCAUUGCGAAGGCGACCUGCCGGAACAUAACUGACGCUGAUGCGCGAAAGCGUGGGUAGCAAACAGGAUUAGAUACCCGAGUAGUC